AAAUUUCAAAAGCACUAUUUUCUUUCCAAAAUAACAAGUAGAUCUUCCAAUACUGGGUUUUCUCUACAACAAUGGAAGACCAAAUUGCCGCCAUAAAAAGCAAGAUUGACGCCAUAGAAGUCAAGAUUGAUGCCAUUGAACAAAAGCUUAAUGGGUUGGUGAAUUCUUUGAAAAUGAAUGAAGAUGUAGCUGAUCUACAAGCUAGACUUGGCAAUGAGUUGAACGGACUUUUUGGCUUGAGUGCCACAAAUAUCUGUCGAGCCAUCAAUGUUCUAGCUACAAGACAUGAUUUGCUUAGGGUUUUCUUUGGUUUGCCUUUUCACAUGAAGAUAUUAUAUAUCGAGAACCUUUCAGUUGGUGGACCAAGAGUGAUAUAGCUAUAUAUACAUACAUUAACUCUUCCAUGAUGGAAAUGUUGUUUGGUCCAUGUCAUUUUGUAUGCAUACAUACCUUUUUAAAGAAUAAGUUAAGUAGAAGGGUUAUUACGUCGAACAAGAGAAUGACCUAAUAUCCUCCGUGAGUGUUUCGGAAAAUAUUACGUCGUUCCUAGAUUGGCGUAAUAAAGCUUUCAUAUAUAUAUAUAUAUUAUUGGGAAUAUAUUUAUUUGUAUAUUAUAUUUUAGCGUGAUAUAUGUUUGAAUCUUGUAUUACGAAUAAUAUUUGUGUGAUGCUCUAAAAUAAUAAAAUUGAUAUAUAAUGGUACUCUA
This is a long non-coding RNA of Humulus lupulus (European hop), 706 nucleotides long. RefSeq lists it as uncharacterized. The transcript is spliced from 2 exons. The record is from RefSeq and is a predicted model, not a curated record. Lineage: Eukaryota; Viridiplantae; Streptophyta; Magnoliopsida; Rosales; Cannabaceae.